This 484-nucleotide ribosomal RNA is filed under the name uncultured bacterium. RNAcentral's name for it is "partial 16S ribosomal RNA". It matches the Rfam family "Bacterial small subunit ribosomal RNA", at positions 28 to 507 of the family's 1533-position model. The record is from RNAcentral.
AUUGAACGCUGGCGGCAUGCUUUACACAUGCAGGUCGAACGGCAGCGCGGGCUUCGGCCUUGCGGCGAGUGGCGAACGGGUGAGUAAUGCAUCGGAACGUGCCCAGUAGUGGGGGAUAGCCCGGCGAAAGCCGGAUUAAUACCGCAUACGACCUGAGGGUGAAAGCGGGGGACCGAAAGGCCUCGCGCUAUUGGAGCGGCCGAUGUCGGAUUAGCUAGUUGGUGGGGUAAAGGCUUACCAAGGCGACGAUCCGUAGCUGGUCUGAGAGGACGACCAGCCACACUGGGACUGAGACACGGCCCAGACUCCUACGGGAGGCAGCAGUGGGGAAUUUUGGACAAUGGGGGCAACCCUGAUCCAGCCAUGCCGCGUGCGGGAAGAAGGCCUUCGGGUUGUAAACCGCUUUUGUUCGGGAAGAAAGCCUCUGGGCUAAUACCCCGGGGGGAUGACGGUACCGGAAGAAUAAGCACCGGCUAACUACGUG